CCUCACUUGCUUUGGCAAUGUUAACACAUGUUUCCCAUGCCAAUAAAGCCCUUGAAUUGAAAUUGAAUUGAGAGAGACGGGAGGGUAGAGAGAGAGAGGGGAGGGUAGAGAGACAGAGGGAAGGAGAGCAAGAGAGAGGAAGGUAGAGAGAGAGAGGGUAGGGUAGAGAGAGCGAGAGAGGGGAGGGUAGAGAGAGAGAGGAAAGGAGAGCAAGAGAGAGGAAGGUAGAGAGAGAGAGGGUAGGGUAGAGAGAGCGAGAGAGGGGAGGAGGGAGAGAGAGAGGAAAGGAGAGCGAGAGAGAGGA
Oncorhynchus tshawytscha (Chinook salmon) is the source of this 304-nucleotide long non-coding RNA. The record is from Ensembl. Lineage: Eukaryota; Metazoa; Chordata; Actinopteri; Salmoniformes; Salmonidae.